GCACUCUAAGUUGACUGCCGGUGACAAACCGGAGGAAGGUGGGGAUGACGUCAAAUCAUCAUGCCCCUUAUGAUUUGGGCUACACACGUGCUACAAUGGACAAUACAAAGGGUAGCGAAACCGCGAGGUCAAGCAAAUCCCAUAAAGUUGUUCUCAGUUCGGAUUGUAGUCUGCAACUCGACUAUAUGAAGCUGGAAUCGCUAGUAAUCGUAGAUCAGCAUGCUACGGUGAAUACGUUCCCGG
This 243-nucleotide ribosomal RNA is filed under the name Staphylococcus epidermidis. RNAcentral describes it as "partial 16S ribosomal RNA". It matches the Rfam family "Bacterial small subunit ribosomal RNA", at positions 1135 to 1377 of the family's 1533-position model. Lineage: Bacteria; Bacillati; Bacillota; Bacilli; Caryophanales; Staphylococcaceae. The record is from RNAcentral.